RNAcentral lists this transfer RNA (73 nucleotides) under Bacteroidota bacterium. Its description in RNAcentral is "Bacteroidetes bacterium tRNA-Gln". It matches the Rfam family "tRNA". Rfam says of the family: Transfer RNA (tRNA) molecules are approximately 80 nucleotides in length. Lineage: Bacteria; Pseudomonadati; Bacteroidota. The record is from RNAcentral. RNAcentral also lists the same sequence under 3 other names.
UGCCCUGUGGUGUAAUUGGCAACACGCCUGACUCUGGAUCAGGAGAGCCCAGGUUCGACCCCUGGCGGGGCAG